This 557-nucleotide ribosomal RNA is filed under the name Inocybe sp. Its description in RNAcentral is "LSU rRNA". It matches the Rfam family "Eukaryotic large subunit ribosomal RNA", at positions 77 to 618 of the family's 3401-position model. Lineage: Eukaryota; Fungi; Basidiomycota; Agaricomycetes; Agaricales; Inocybaceae. The record is from RNAcentral.
CCCCUAGUAACUGCGAGUGAAGCGGGAAAAGCUCAAAUUUGUAAUCUGGUGGCUCUUGGCCAUCCGAGUUGUAAUCUAGAGAAGUGUUACCCGUGCUGGACUGUGUACAAGUCUCCUGGAAUGGGGCAUCAUAGAGGGUGAGAAUCCCGUCUUUGACACGGACUACCAGUGCACUGUGGGUGUGCUCUCGAAGAGUCGAGUUGUUUGGGAAUGCAGCUCAAAAUGGGUGGUAAAUGCCAUCUAAAGCUAAAUAUUGGCGAGAGACCGAUAGCGAACAAGUACCGUGAGGGAAAGAUGAAAAGUACUUUGGAAAGAGAGUUAAACAGUACGUGAAAUUGCUGAAAGGGAAACGCUUGAAGUCAGUCGCGUCGGCAGGGAAUCAGCCUCGCUUUUGCUUGGUGUACUUUCCUGUCUUGACGGGUCAGCAUCAAUCUCGACCACUGGAUAAAGUCCAUGGGAAUGUAGCAUCUUUUGGAUGUGUUAUAGCCUGUUGUCGCAUACGGUGGUUGGGAUUGAGGAACUCAGCACGCCCGNGAGGGACGGGUUUCGACCACGUU